CUUGCAUAUCUUCUCUUUCGCCUCCAAUCUCCAUAUUGCUCUUUUUCAUCUAUGCAGUUAAAAGAUGAAUAAAUUAUAUAAGCAAAUAGUGAAUUAAACUAUCCAAUCAUAUAAAACUAAAAUCAAAAUUUUAUAUAAAGAAUAAUUCUUUUACCUUAAUCCUGCAUAUUUUCUCAAGCAAACAACCAAUGGCAUUCAAUUUUACUAUAAUGUAACAAAAUCAUAUCAAACAAGAAAUUUUCAAUAUUGAAAAGUUAGCUAAGCAUAUUUAGAUAAGUGAAGUUAGCUAAGCAUAUUUAGCUAAAUAUAGUAUCAUAAAAGUAACAACAUCAAAUAGUUAAAUACACCAACAUAAAAAUAAAAAUUCAACAUUAAUCCAAGUGCAUAUAUAUCUUAAGAGCCAUCAAGCAUAGAAAACAACAUUAAGUCUUCCACUCAAAAUCACCCCAUCCUGUAUCAAAAAAACAUAAUAAAGUUAGUUUAUAUAAAAAAUAAUUUAAAAAAUAAUAAAAUAUAUGCAAUAUGUGCAUUCUUAAAAUUAUUCACCUUACAAAAGAAAAAUUAGUAAGCUAAGAAUCCACAACUUCGGGCCAUUUGUGUAUAAAAAAGUAUCCAUCAGAUGGACUAAAAGCUCUAUGUUUGGGUCUUCUUUGUGCAUAACAGAGAAUGGACACAUUCAAUUUAAGCACUCGAGCCAUUUGUGUAUAAAAAAGUAUCCAUCAGAUGGACUAAAAGCUAUGUUUGGGUCUUCUUUGUGCAUAACAGAGAAUGGAAACAUUCAAUUUAAGCACUCGAGCCAUUUGUGUACAAAAAAGUAUUCAUCAGAUGGACUAAAAGCUCUAUGUUUGGGUCUUCUUUGUACAUAACAGAGAAUGGACACAUUCAAUUUAAGCACUCGAGCCAUUUGUGUAUAAAAAAGUAUCCUCAGAUGGACUAAAAGCUUCCAACUUUUGCUUUGAAGAAUGAAAACUCAAAUCGUACCUGGUUUGUAAAGAACCACCCGAUUACUGAUCUAUUGUUGGAUAGAGGAAGCGGAAGAGGAAGAGGCGACGAGGAGGGUUUCGAUUUAUGAAGAGUGAAGAAACCGACUUCGAUCUUCGAUUUCUAAAGAUGAGGGCUUCCGAUGGCGUUCGGCGAGCGGCCGGAAGGGAAGAGGGGGACCGCCGCAGGGGUUGGUGGCAGGGCUGCACCGCCGCAGGGCCGCACCGCCGCAGGGCCGCAGGGGUGAGAAGUUAGGGCAAACCCUUUUUUUGGGAGUGGUGGGGUGGCCAGGUGGAGUGGGAGUGUGGGACAGUGGGACUGUGGGAGUGGGACUCGUGGGAGAAGGGGGGGG
RNAcentral lists this long non-coding RNA (1333 nucleotides) under Ananas comosus (pineapple). RNAcentral's name for it is "long non-coding RNA (ACOM_LNC009193)". Lineage: Eukaryota; Viridiplantae; Streptophyta; Magnoliopsida; Poales; Bromeliaceae. The record is from RNAcentral.